CCUACGGGUGGCUGCAGUCGAGAAUCAUUCACAAUGGGGGAAACCCUGAUGGUGCGACGCCGCGUGGGGGAAUGAAGGUCUUCGGAUUGUAAACCCCUGUCAUGUGGGAGCAAAUUAAAAAGAUAGUACCACAAGAGGAAGAGACGGCUAACUCUGUGCCAGCAGCCGCGGUAAUACGGAGGUCUCAAGCGUGGUUCGGAUUCACUGGGCGUAAAGCGAGCGUAGGCUGUUUCGUAAGUCGUGUGUGAAAGGCCGGGGCUCAACCCGCGGACGGCACAUGAUACUGAGAGACUAGAGGAAUGGAGGGGGAACCGGAAUUCUCGGUGUAGCAGUGGAAUGCGUAGAUAUCGAGAGGAACACUCGUGGCGAAGGCGGGUUCCUGGACAUUAACUGACGCUGAGGCACGAAGGCCAGGGGAGCGAAAGGGAUUAGAUACCCCUGUAGUC
Molecule: ribosomal RNA, 446 nt
Filed under: uncultured bacterium
Lineage: Bacteria
Description: partial 16S ribosomal RNA
Rfam family: Bacterial small subunit ribosomal RNA
Source: RNAcentral